Long non-coding RNA from Papaver somniferum (opium poppy), 901 nucleotides. RefSeq lists it as uncharacterized. The record is from RefSeq and is a predicted model, not a curated record. NCBI's taxonomy places the organism in Eukaryota, Viridiplantae, Streptophyta, Magnoliopsida, Ranunculales, Papaveraceae. The transcript has 3 exons.
AACAAAAACAAACCAGACCAAAAGUAUCGAGGAAUUUUGAUUUUUGAUUUUUAACUUUUCCACUCUCUCGAAUCCUUGAGUCCGUGUGAUGAUUCAUUCAAAAUGACGACAUACCAUAUCUAUUUGUGUUUCCAUGCCAACCCUCCAACAAAAACCUGGUAAUCACCGAAAGGGGAAUUCAAGAACUGAAACCCAGAACGUGAAAUUUGAUUAGAUCACCCAUGAGAUUUUGAACAAUUAGAGUAGCUAAUUCCAGAAUAACUACUUCCACUGAAAAAAAGACUUGGAUCAAGUUCGUUGUUCUGCAGAGGAAGAAAAACAAGAAUGGACAAAUAAGGAGGACAAGGAGGAAGAAUCUGUGAUAUUAGGUAGGGGGAUGAGUUGAAAGGUAAUGAAUUUUCCUUGAAAAUGUUCUUCAAAGGUGUAUCUAUCCUUUAAGGCAUGUGAUUUAGGGUCUGGGUUUUCAGGGAAAACUUGAUUUUUCUGUAGAGGAAUCAGUUGCUCAAUAUUUCCUUUGAUGGAUGGUAUGGUGGAUGCAUUGGACAACAAGAUUCGUCUUGCUGUUGCUUUUAUAGCUUCUAAGAUUGUUUAUGAUCAAUUGCAGUUGUUUUAAUGGUGAAACUAUUCUGGCGAGUUCUGGAUCUAUAGAUCAAUUAAUUCACCUUUGUACUUCCCGUGAGGAUAAUUAUUAUGAUGAACGAUGCCAUGAUGCCAUGUGAUGGGGGUGGGACUUCCGGCGGUUGCAUGAAAUGUAUGGCAGGCGCAUCGCGCAUGCAUGCUAUACUAGUCCCUAUAAAUGGAGGUUGUAAUAUUUGUUUAUUCUGCACAUUGAAUAAAAAUUCUUCCUCUCUUUCCCUACUUUUCUAUCUUUCACACUAGUUGUUGGAUUAAUUGUUUUAAC